GAUGAACGCUGGCGGCGUGCCUAAUACAUGCAAGUCGAGCGAACGGACGAGAAGCUUGCUUCUCUGAUGUUAGCGGCGGACGGGUGAGUAACACGUGGAUAACCUACCUAUAAGACUGGGAUAACUUCGGGAAACCGGAGCUAAUACCGGAUAAUAUUUUGAACCGCAUGGUUCAAAAGUGAAAGACGGUCUUGCUGUCACUUAUAGAUGGAUCCGCGCUGCAUUAGCUAGUUGGUAAGGUAACGGCUUACCAAGGCAACGAUGCAUAGCCGACCUGAGAGGGUGAUCGGCCACACUGGAACUGAGACACGGUCCAGACUCCUACGGGAGGCAGCAGUAGGGAAUCUUCCGCAAUGGGCGGAAGCCUGACGGAGCAACGCCGCGUGAGUGAUGAAGGUCUUCGGAUCGUAAAACUCUGUUAUUAGGGAAGAACAUAUGUGUAAGUAACUGUGCACAUCUUGACGGUACCUAAUCAGAAAGCCACGGCUAACUACGUGCCAGCAGCCGCGGUAAUACGUAGGUGGCAAGCGUUAUCCGGAAUUAUUGGGCGUAAAGCGCGCGUAGGCGGUUUUUUAAGUCUGAUGUGAAAGCCCACGGCUCAACCGUGGAGGGUCAUUGGAAACUGGAAAACUUGAGUGCAGAAGAGGAAAGUGGAAUUCCAUGUGUAGCGGUGAAAUGCGCAGAGAUAUGGAGGAACACCAGUGGCGAAGGCGACUUUCUGGUCUGUAACUGACGCUGAUGUGCGAAAGCGUGGGGAUCAAACAGGAUUAGAUACCCUGGUAGUCCACGCCGUAAACGAUGAGUGCUAAGUGUUAGGGGGUUUCCGCCCCUUAGUGCUGCAGCUAACGCAUUAAGCACUCCGCCUGGGGAGUACGACCGCAAGGUUGAAACUCAAAGGAAUUGACGGGGACCCGCACAAGCGGUGGAGCAUGUGGUUUAAUUCGAAGCAACGCGAAGAACCUUACCAAAUCUUGACAUCCUUUGACAACUCUAGAGAUAGAGCCUUCCCCUUCGGGGGGGCAAAGUGACAGGUGGUGCAUGGUUGUCGUCAGCUCGCGUCGUGAGAUGUUGGGUUAAGUCCCGCAACGAGCGCAACCCUUAAGCUUAGUUGCCAUCAUUAAGUUGGGCACUCUAAGUUGACUGCCGGUGACAAACCGGAGGAAGGUGGGGAUGACGUCAAAUCAUCAUGCCCCUUAUGAUUUGGGCUACACACGUGCUACAAUGGACAAUACAAAGGGCAGCGAAACCGCGAGGUCAAGCAAAUCCCAUAAAGUUGUUCUCAGUUCGGAUUGUAGUCUGCAACUCGACUACAUGAAGCUGGAAUCGCUAGUAAUCGUAGAUCAGCAUGCUACGGUGAAUACGUUCCCGGGUCU
RNAcentral lists this ribosomal RNA (1373 nucleotides) under uncultured bacterium. Its description in RNAcentral is "bacterial SSU rRNA". It matches the Rfam family "Bacterial small subunit ribosomal RNA", at positions 28 to 1381 of the family's 1533-position model. The record is from RNAcentral.